RNAcentral lists this unclassified non-coding RNA (476 nucleotides) under Hevea brasiliensis (rubber tree). The record is from RNAcentral. Lineage: Eukaryota; Viridiplantae; Streptophyta; Magnoliopsida; Malpighiales; Euphorbiaceae.
UUUGAUGUUCAAUACACAACAAAAAUGGGAGAAUUCAGAGAACUCAUAGCCUCCACAAGGGAUCAAAUACACAAUGAAUGCAAGCCAGUUCAGAAUCUUCUCUUCUCAGAAUGUAAGCUUGGGAUUAAUGACUUGCCUAAUCACGUUUAUGAGGUGGAUUGGGAUGUGAUAUUGAUCGAUGGGCCUCGAGGGGAUGGACCAGAAGGGCCAGGGAGGAUGACACCAAUCUUCACAUCUGGGGUUCUAGCUAGAAGCAAGAAGGGAGGAAAUGGGAAGACUCAUAUAUUUGUGCAUGAUUACUACAGAGAUGUGGAGAAAGUAUAUGGAGAUGAGUUCUUGUGCAGAGAGAACUUGGUGGAAGCUAAUGACAUGCUUGCUCAUUUUGUGGUGGAGAAGAUGGAUGAGAAUAGCUACCAAUUCUGCAGCAACAAAACAUCAAAAUCAGCUUCUUCUUCUUCAUCAUCCUAAUUGUUUUU